UGGUUUUCUUAACGGCAAAAGCAUCUCCAGACGAGUGUCGACAAAGUCAGUCCGACCACCUCCACGUGGAGUGCGGGCGGUUCACUAAGUGGACAAUUGUAUUGAAACCACUGUUAAUCGACAAUCGAAAGGUAACCGCUGUCAAAUACUGUGGCGACAACAUUAAUCACUUUCUAUGUCCGACGAAUUACAAAGAGAGCGCCAAACAGUUGAAAGCACUCAAAGUUUCGACGCGACGCGGGAGGUGCCAAGGACCUGAACUAAACUGAAGCUAAACUUUUUAGCUCUCCUGAAUACUCAACCCAUUAGAUACCGCAAACUCUGUUGAUACAAACCAUCGAAAUGCCACGUCUCAAGUGACAGAAUAUUCUACAUAUUGUCAUUCAACAGCUAA
Non-coding RNA from Bactrocera oleae (olive fruit fly), 394 nucleotides. The record is from RefSeq and is a predicted model, not a curated record. Lineage: Eukaryota; Metazoa; Arthropoda; Insecta; Diptera; Tephritidae.